UGCAAGUCGGACGGAGCUUAGAGAGCUUGCUUUUUAAGCUUAGUGGCGAACGGGUGAGUAACGCGUGAGUAACCUGCCCUAGAGUGGGGGACAACAGUUGGAAACGACUGCUAAUACCGCAUAAGCCCACGGUACCGCAUGGUACUGAGGGAAAAGGAUUUAUUCGCUUUAGGAUGGACUCGCGUCCAAUUAGCUAGUUGGUGAGGUAACGGCCCACCAAGGCGACGAUUGGUAGCCGGACUGAGAGGUUGAACGGCCACAUUGGGACUGAGACACGGCCCAGACUCCUACGGGAGGCAGCAGUGGGGGAUAUUGCACAAUGGGGGAAACCCUGAUGCAGCGACGCCGCGUGGAGGAAGAAGGUUUUCGGAUUGUAAACUCCUGUCGUUAGGGACGAUAAUGACGGUACCUAACAAGAAAGCACCGGCUAACUACGUGCCAGCAGCCGCGGUAAAACGUAGGGUGCAAGCGUUGUCCGGAAUUACUGGGUGUAAAGGGAGCGCAGGCGGGAAGACAAGUUGGAAGUGAAAACCAUGGGCUCAACCCAUGAAUUGCUUUCAAAACUGUUUUUCUUGAGUAGUGCAGAGGUAGAUGGAAUUCCCGGUGUAGCGGUGGAAUGCGUAGAUAUCGGGAGGAACACCAGUGGCGAAGGCGGUCUACUGGGCACCAACUGACGCUGAGGCUCGAAAGCAUGGGUAGCAAACAGGAUUAGAUACCCUGGUAGUCCAUGCCGUAAACGAUGAUUACUAGGUGUUGGGGGAUUGACCCCCUCAGUGCCGCAGUUAACACAAUAAGUAAUCCACCUGGGGAGUACGACCGCAAGGUUGAAACUCAAAGGAAUUGACGGGGGCCCGCACAAGCAGUGGAGUAUGUGGUUUAAUUCGAAGCAACGCGAAGAAUCUUACCAGGUC
Molecule: ribosomal RNA, 911 nt
Filed under: uncultured bacterium
Lineage: Bacteria
Description: bacterial SSU rRNA
Rfam family: Bacterial small subunit ribosomal RNA
Source: RNAcentral